RNAcentral lists this ribosomal RNA (255 nucleotides) under uncultured bacterium. RNAcentral describes it as "partial small subunit ribosomal RNA". It matches the Rfam family "Bacterial small subunit ribosomal RNA", at positions 26 to 285 of the family's 1533-position model. The record is from RNAcentral.
AGGACGAACGCUGGCGGCGUGCUUAACACAUGCAAGUCGAGCGGUAAGGCCCUUCGGGGUACACGAGCGGCGAACGGGUGAGUAACACGUGGGUGACCUGCCCUUAGCUCUGGGAUAAGCCUGGGAAACCGGGUCUAAUACCGGAUAGGACUCCAUGACGCAUGUUGUGGGGUGGAAAGCCUUGUGCGGCUAGGGAUGGGCCCGCGGCCUAUCAGCUUGUUGGUGGGUGAUUGCCUACCAAGGCGACGACGGGUA